Molecule: transfer RNA, 74 nt
Filed under: Bos taurus (domestic cattle)
Lineage: Eukaryota; Metazoa; Chordata; Mammalia; Artiodactyla; Bovidae
Rfam family: tRNA
About the family: Transfer RNA (tRNA) molecules are approximately 80 nucleotides in length. Their secondary structure includes four short double-helical elements and three loops (D, anti-codon, and T loops).
Source: Rfam by way of RNAcentral
UCCCUGAUAGUCCUGUGGCUAAGAAUCCUCACUCUCAAUGCAGGAGGCCCCAGGUUCGAUUCCAGGUCAGGGAA